This 1964-nucleotide ribosomal RNA is filed under the name Muribaculaceae bacterium. RNAcentral describes it as "partial 23S ribosomal RNA". It matches the Rfam family "Bacterial large subunit ribosomal RNA", at positions 1 to 1977 of the family's 2925-position model. Lineage: Bacteria; Pseudomonadati; Bacteroidota; Bacteroidia; Bacteroidales; Muribaculaceae. The record is from RNAcentral.
GAACAAGGGCGCAUGGGGGAUGCCUUGGCUCUCGGAGGCGAAGAAGGACGUGACAAGCUGCGAAAAGCUGCGGCGAGUGGCAAAUACACCGUGACCCGCAGAUAUCCGAAUGGGGCAACCCGUAGGGAGCGAUCCCUACAUCAGUGUAACACUGAGGCGAACGUGGGGAACUGAAACAUCUUAGUACCCGCAGGAAGAGAAAGUAACAACGAUUCUCCCAGUAGCGGCGAGCGAACGGGGAAGAGCCCAAACCGGCGGCGUUUCGGCGCGUGCCGGGGUUAUAGGACCGCUCAAAGGCGCAUGCGAGCGUAGCGGAAGGAGAUGGAAUGCUCCCCCGCAGACGGUGAGAGGCCGGUACGCGAAACGCAGACAUGCCAGGAGCGGCACCUGAGUAGGGCGGGACACGAGAAAUCCCGUCUGAAUUAUCGGGGACCAUCCCGAAAGGCUAAAUACUACCGAGAGACCGAUAGCGAACCAGUACCGUGAGGGAAAGGUGAAAAGCACCUCGGACAGAGGAGUGAAAAAGACCCUGAAACCAUGCGCCUACAAGCGGUCGGAGCCACUAUGUGUGGUGACGGCGUGCCUUUUGCAUAAUGAACCUGCGAGUUGCCGUCGGCGGCAAGGCUAAGGGCUUCAGGUCCGGAGCCGGAGCGAAAGCGAGUCCGAACAGGGCGUAAAGUCGCCGGAGGCAGACGCGAAACCGAGUGAUCUACGCAUGGGCAGGAUGAAGACGUGGUAACACACGUUGGAGGUCCGAACCGGUAAGCGUUGAAAAGCUUUCGGAUGACCUGUGCGUAGGAGUGAAAGGCCAAUCAAACUCGGAGAUAGCUCGUACUCCCCGAAAUGCAUUUAGGUGCAGCCUCGGGACUAUGCCGCGGAGGUAGAGCGACCGAUAGGAUGCGAGGGCUUCGCCGCCUGUCAAGUCCUGACGAACUCCGAAUGCCGCGGCACGAAUUCCGGGAGUGAGGGCGCGGGUGCUAAGGUCCGCGUCCGAAAGAGGAACAACUCAGACCAUCGUCUAAGGCCCCGAAAUCCGGGCUGAGUUGAAGGCAAUAACGAGGUGGGGCCGCACAGACAGCCGGGAUGUUGGCUUGGAAGCAGCCAUUCAUUUAAAGAGUGCGUAACAGCUCACCGGUCAAGCGGCCCCGCGUGGAUAAUAAUCGGGCAUAAGUCCGGUGCCGAAGACGUGGGAUUAAUAAAUAAUUAAUCGGUAGGGGAGCAUUCCAUCGGCGGUGAAGGUCGGACGCGAGUCCGGGUGGAGCUUAUGGAAAAGCAAAUGCAGGUAUAAGUAACGACAAAGGGGAUGAGAAAUCCCCUCGCCGAAAGACCAAGGGUUCCUGAACAACGCUAAUCGGUUCAGGGUAAGUCGGGACCUAAGGCCACCCCGUCAGGGCAUGGUCGAUGGACAUGCGGUCAAUAUUCCGCAACCCGUGUAUGUGGAAUCCCAGCGGAGACGGAGAAGCGAAACGCACGCGUGCUGACGGAAUAGCACGUUGAAGGAAAACAGCCAUAAGGUACGGCGGAAACGUACCUGGCGAAAUCCGACAGUACACGAGCCGCAUGCGGUGAGUGACAGUUGCGGAGGAGCAGGCUCCCGAGAAAAUCCGCGCGGGGUGUUCGACACAUAUUCGGCCCGUACCGGAAACCGACACAGGUGGUCGGGUAGAAAAUACCGAGGCGCUCGAGAGAUUCACGGUCAAGGAACUAGGCAAACUGACCCCGUAACUUCGGGAUAAGGGGUCCUCCCCCCUCAACAAGGGGAGGCGCAGAGAAUAGGUCCAGGCAACUGUUUAGCAAAAACACAGGGCUGUGCGAAGCCGCAAGGCGCAGUAUACAGUCUGACACCUGCCCGGUGCCGGAAGGUUAAGCGGAGCUGUCAGAGCAAUCGAAGCAGUGAAGUGAAGCCCCGGUAAACGGCGGCCGUAACUAUAACGGUCCUAAGGUAGCGAAAUUCCUUGUCGGGU